Molecule: long non-coding RNA, 290 nt
Filed under: Bos taurus (domestic cattle)
Lineage: Eukaryota; Metazoa; Chordata; Mammalia; Artiodactyla; Bovidae
Description: long non-coding RNA NONBTAT001459
Source: RNAcentral
GGUGACCUGGGAUAAGGUGGUUGUGCACUGACAAAAUGAAAGGACAUUGACUUGUAGUUAUCUUGAGUAUGAAGUUAUUUGAGCCUAGCAUCUUCUGGGUCUCUUGAUUACUUAAAAAAUGUGGGAUAAUAAAAUGCUUCAAGUGCUAACAAUUUCUAAUAAAUUCUAUAAAUUCCCAAAAGGUGGGAUUAGGGAUGUAGAAGAAGCAAAAUGUAUUCGAUUAAACAGACUUGAACCAGGUAGGAUAUCCCUUCCCAAGCUUUGAGCAUGUUUGAUUUGCUUUCAUAUGC